RNAcentral lists this ribosomal RNA (301 nucleotides) under Salmonella enterica subsp. enterica serovar Senftenberg. RNAcentral's name for it is "partial 23S ribosomal RNA". It matches the Rfam family "Bacterial large subunit ribosomal RNA", at positions 891 to 1190 of the family's 2925-position model. The record is from RNAcentral. Lineage: Bacteria; Pseudomonadati; Pseudomonadota; Gammaproteobacteria; Enterobacterales; Enterobacteriaceae. RNAcentral also lists the same sequence under 1 other name.
CAUCUCCGGGGGUAGAGCACUGUUUCGGCUAGGGGGCCAUCCCGGCUUACCAACCCGAUGCAAACUGCGAAUACCGGAGAAUGUUAUCACGGGAGACACACGGCGGGUGCUAACGUCCGUCGUGAAGAGGGAAACAACCCAGACCGCCAGCUAAGGUCCCAAAGUCAUGGUUAAGUGGGAAACGAUGUGGGAAGGCCCAGACAGCCAGGAUGUUGGCUUAGAAGCAGCCAUCAUUUAAAGAAAGCGUAAUAGCUCACUGGUCGAGUCGGCCUGCGCGGAAGAUGUAACGGGGCUAAACCAU